This 274-nucleotide unclassified non-coding RNA is filed under the name Hevea brasiliensis (rubber tree). Lineage: Eukaryota; Viridiplantae; Streptophyta; Magnoliopsida; Malpighiales; Euphorbiaceae. The record is from RNAcentral.
AACUUAAAUUUAACAUUGAUGUGCUAGAACUUCCUGGUCACUAGCCCCAUAAAGACAUGUGAUGAGUGUUUCUUAUCCUUAAAAGUUAUAUUAAAAAACAAUCAUCCAAACAUCAUUACGUAAACACCAUUUUAUUCUCUUCUUGUGGAUUUUCAUUUACGAUCAGUGAUCUUCUCUUUAACUCCUCCUAGCGGUCAUAAUUCAGGAGACUGAUAGAUAAUUGGUUACCGGGCAUAGAGAUAUAACCCUAUUACAAAUUACAGGUUUACAACUG